UACAGAGGUCUCAAGCGUUGUUCGGAUUCAUUGGGCGUAAAGGGUGCGUAGGCGGCGCGGUAAGUCGGGUGUGAAAUCUCGGGGCUUAACUCCGAAACUGCAUUCGAUACUACCGUGCUUGAGGACUGGAGAGGAGACUGGAAUUUACGGUGUAGCGGUGAAAUGCGUAGAUAUCGUAAGGAAGACCAGUGGCGAAGGCGGGUCUCUGGACAGUUCCUGACGCUGAGGCACGAAGGUCAGGGGAGCAAACGGG
This 253-nucleotide ribosomal RNA is filed under the name uncultured bacterium. RNAcentral describes it as "partial 16S ribosomal RNA". It matches the Rfam family "Bacterial small subunit ribosomal RNA", at positions 524 to 776 of the family's 1533-position model. The record is from RNAcentral.